AACGAACGCUGGCGGCGUGCCUAACACAUGCAAGUCGAACGAGAAAGCGGACUUCGGUCCGUUAGUAGAGUGGCAGACGGGUGAGUAACACGUGGAUAACCUGCCCAGAUGUGGGGGAUAACCUUCCUAACGGAGGGCUAAUACCGCAUAAUAUCUCGAAAUCCUCGGGUUUUGAGAUCAAAGCUUGCCUCUAUUUAUAAGCUAGCGCAACUGGAGGGGUCCGCGCCCCAUUAGCUUGUUGGUGAGGUAACGGCUCACCAAGGCACCGAUGGGUAGCCGGCCUGAGAGGGUGAUCGGCCACACUGGAACUGAGACACGGUCCAG
This 324-nucleotide ribosomal RNA is filed under the name uncultured bacterium. RNAcentral's name for it is "bacterial SSU rRNA". It matches the Rfam family "Bacterial small subunit ribosomal RNA", at positions 29 to 334 of the family's 1533-position model. The record is from RNAcentral.